RNAcentral lists this ribosomal RNA (447 nucleotides) under uncultured bacterium. RNAcentral describes it as "bacterial SSU rRNA". It matches the Rfam family "Bacterial small subunit ribosomal RNA", at positions 330 to 794 of the family's 1533-position model. The record is from RNAcentral.
CCCAGACUCCUACGGGAGGCAGCAGUGGGGAAUAUUGCACAAUGGGGGGAACCCUGAUGCAGCGACGCCGCGUGAGUGAAGAAGUAUUUCGGUAUGUAAAGCUCUAUCAGCAGGGAAGAAAAUGACGGUACCUGACUAAGAAGCCCCGGCUAACUACGUGCCAGCAGCCGCGGUAAUACGUAGGGGGCAAGCGUUAUCCGGAUUUACUGGGUGUAAAGGGAGCGUAGACGGCGAUGCAAGUCUGAAGUGAAAGGCGGGGGCCCAACCCCCGGACUGCUUUGGAAACUGUAUAGCGGGAGUGCAGGAGAGGUAAGUGGAAUUCCUAGUGUAGCGGUGAAAUGCGUAGAUAUAAGGAAGAACACCAGUGGCGAAGGCGGAUGACUGGACGGCAACUGACGGUGAGGCGCGAAGGCCAGGGGAGCGAAAGGGAUUAGAUACCCGUGUACC